This 709-nucleotide ribosomal RNA is filed under the name uncultured bacterium. RNAcentral describes it as "bacterial SSU rRNA". It matches the Rfam family "Bacterial small subunit ribosomal RNA", at positions 17 to 719 of the family's 1533-position model. The record is from RNAcentral.
UCAUGGCUCAGAUUGAACGCUGGCGGAAUGCUUCACACAUGCAAGUCGAACGGCAGCACGGGAGCUUGCUCCUGGUGGCGAGUGGCGAACGGGUGAGUAAUACAUAGGAACAUACCCAGUAAUGGGGGAUAACGCCGAGAAAUCGGUGCUAAUACCGCAUACGCCCUACGGGGGAAAGUGGGGGAUCUUCGGACCUCGCGUUAUUGGAUUGGCCUAUGUCUGAUUAGCUAGUUGGUGAGGUAAAGGCUCACCAAGGCGACGAUCAGUAGCUGGUCUGAGAGGAUGAUCAGCCACACUGGAACUGAGACACGGUCCAGACUCCUACGGGAGGCAGCAGUGGGGAAUUUUGGACAAUGGGCGAAAGCCUGAUCCAGCCAUUCCGCGUGAGUGAAGAAGGCCUUCGGGUUGUAAAGCUCUUUCGGCAGGAACGAAAUGGUUGCGAUUAAUAACCGCGACUUCUGACGGUACCUGAAGAAGAAGCACCGGCUAACUACGUGCCAGCAGCCGCGGUAAUACGUAGGGUGCGAGCGUUAAUCGGAAUUACUGGGCGUAAAGCGUGCGCAGGCGGUUUUGUAAGUCAGAUGUGAAAGCCCCGGGCUUAACCUGGGAAUGGCGUUUGAAACUGCAAGGCUAGAGUGUGUCAGAGGGGGGUAGAAUUCCACGUGUAGCAGUGAAAUGCGUAGAGAUGUGGAGGAAUACCGAUGGCGAA